Molecule: ribosomal RNA, 253 nt
Filed under: uncultured bacterium
Lineage: Bacteria
Description: partial 16S ribosomal RNA
Rfam family: Bacterial small subunit ribosomal RNA
Source: RNAcentral
UACGUAGGGUGCGAGCGUUGUCCGGAAUUAUUGGGCGUAAAGAGCUCGUAAGCGGUUUGUUGCGUCGGCCGUGAAAACCUGCAGCUUAACUGUGGGCCUGCGGCCGAUACGGGCAGACUUGAGUUCGGUAGGGGAGACUGGAAUUCCUGGUGUAGCGGUGAAAUGCGCAGAUAUCAGGAGGAACACCGGUGGCGAAGGCGGUUCUCUGGGCAUUACCUGACGCUGAGGAGCGAAAGUGUGGGGAGCGAACAGG